RNAcentral lists this microRNA precursor (74 nucleotides) under Bombyx mori (domestic silkworm). RNAcentral describes it as "mir-2807 microRNA precursor family". It matches the Rfam family "mir-2807 microRNA precursor family". The record is from Rfam by way of RNAcentral. Lineage: Eukaryota; Metazoa; Arthropoda; Insecta; Lepidoptera; Bombycidae.
UUAACUAAAAUUUGUAUGGAGUUGGAACGUUUGCUGCCAGGGACGCUGUUCCAACUGCAUACAAAUUUGAGUUA